This 396-nucleotide ribosomal RNA is filed under the name uncultured bacterium. RNAcentral describes it as "partial 16S ribosomal RNA". It matches the Rfam family "Bacterial small subunit ribosomal RNA", at positions 523 to 918 of the family's 1533-position model. The record is from RNAcentral.
AUACGUAGGUGGCAAGCGUUAUCCGGAUUUACUGGGCGUAAAGGGCGCGCAGGCGGGGGUGCAAGUCAGAUGUGAAAUCUAUGGGCUUAACUCAUGAACUGCAUUUGAAACUGUAUCUCUUGAGUGCUGGAGAGGUAGACGGAAUUCCUUGUGUAGCGGUGACAUCCGCAGAUAUAAGGAAGAACACCAGGGGCGAAGGGGGUCUACUGGGUAGUAACGGACGCUGAGGCGCGAAAGCGGGAGUAGAAAACGGGAUUAACUACCCUGGUAGUCCAGGCUGUAAACGAGGUAUAACAGGUGUGGGGGGACUGAGCCCCUUCGUGCCGCAGUUAACGCAAUAAGUAGUCCGCCUGGGGAGUACGGCCGCAAGGUUGAAACUCAAAUGAAUUGACGGGU